Molecule: transfer RNA, 72 nt
Filed under: Parcubacteria group bacterium
Lineage: Bacteria
Description: tRNA-Met
Rfam family: tRNA
About the family: Transfer RNA (tRNA) molecules are approximately 80 nucleotides in length. Their secondary structure includes four short double-helical elements and three loops (D, anti-codon, and T loops). Further hydrogen bonds mediate the characteristic L-shaped molecular structure. tRNAs have two regions of fundamental functional importance: the anti-codon, which is responsible for specific mRNA codon recognition, and the 3' end, to which the tRNAs corresponding amino acid is attached (by aminoacyl-tRNA synthetases). tRNAs cope with the degeneracy of the genetic code in two manners: having more than one tRNA (with a specific anti-codon) for a particular amino acid; and 'wobble' base-pairing, i.e. permitting non-standard base-pairing at the 3rd anti-codon position.
Source: RNAcentral
GCCGGCGUAGCUCAGUGGCAGAGCGAGGCUUUCAUAAGGCCGAGGUCAGAGGUUCGAAUCCUCUCGCCGGCA